RNAcentral lists this long non-coding RNA (420 nucleotides) under Cyanistes caeruleus (blue tit). RNAcentral describes it as "lncRNA (ENSCCEG00000002530.1)". The record is from RNAcentral. Lineage: Eukaryota; Metazoa; Chordata; Aves; Passeriformes; Paridae.
GUAACAGUGCAGUAUGGCUACAAUAAAUUGUGGUAUAAAUGGUGAAAAAAUACUCCCAAAGUUAUAAUUAAACAAAAAUUGUCCUUUUUAUAUGUAGUGUUUUGGUUUUUUUUCUAGAAGUUAAUGGAAGAAGCACUGUAACCUGGUUUGUCAGGGACAUGGCAGCAAAGCAAAGACUCCUGCAAAUUGAAGCCCCCAAACCAAAGGUCUCUCUAACAUGUGGGAUGAAGAACUGUGCCUGAAAGUGCUGCCGUUCCCAGAUGCUGAAGUCUUGGAAGAGGCUGAUUUACAUCUCUGUGAGUCUGUGUAUCUAUCAGACUGCUUUUCCUUACAUCUGGUGGAUUGCCUAUUACUGCGAGCUAGAUCAGAGGCUCUGCAGCAAUGGAUUUAUAACAGACAAACCACUCAAUCUGCUCAUUC